CGCAUCUACGUCCACGACCUCAAACGUUGCCAGCAGUUGCUAGCUAGAGCUAAGGUUAGUUAAAAAAAAUAUAUUUUCUCAAUGAUGAGGGAGAGACAGAUGAGGAGGACAACAAAACAAAUUGUAACAAGCCACCAGCGUCAAAGAAAAACGACUCACAACAUGUAUACAAGUCACGCUCGGCGAAAAUGGAAAACUUUCCUGAGAACGUUCGCUGAGGGACAGCAGGGAUGUCUGCAGGCAGCAGAGAGUAAUGAGAGACGUACGCACGGAAAUAGAGGUACACCUUACAGCGUCAAAAUAAACCCUUCUGGUAAAUGUCACCCAUUGGAUAAACUUCACAAAGCAGCCAUCCCUGGAUUCGGGGCUGGAUGACUCGUCACGGCUGAGGGAGGGAUCCGGGCAGCUGGCGGCUGACAGGUGGUGUCAGGGAAGGUGAGGUCACCCCACGCCAGCGUCCCAUUGUGAAGAUGUGGAGGGAUGCAUCAGAGAGCAGGCGGUCAAGGCUGGACACCUUAGUUUCCACUUGAUCGAUGUACCAGUUGACUCAUGCAUUGAGUGUAAGUUGAUAUGUGCUUUUUCUCUCUCAGCCAGGUGCUGAGGCAAAUAUGUUUCAUUCAAAUUACUUUGACCAAAUACAGACCAAAGUUCCAACCCAGGUAUGUUCCUCAGAUAUGCACACGUGGCCAAUGUUUUACACGCAGUGUUUUUAGUAUGUGUUGGCCUAAAAGCAGAAGAUUCUGGGAUUGCCAGUGUUCUUUGACGGUUUUCUUCCCUUGAUAUUUGCUGGUGUCCUCAGUAUACCUGCUCAGCCUUGAGGUGAGAGGAAAAUCUCAGCAACACACUGAUUGCAAAAAAAGCCACCUGAGUAAUAACUUUUAUUUUGUGUUUAUGUGUUAGAAUGAAAUGUGGAUGAAACGGAUUCUGUGAGGUUCUGUGAGACCUAUAAGAAUGCACAUAGUGAGAGCGUGUUCUAGUUGGUUAAUUGUUCUUAGCUUGCUGUUUGAAAUGCAAGUGGGAUUAAACCUGCUGUUAAAUUAAUGCAAGAUUGACGUUCCCUCGUGAAUCCUGAAAUCAAACAUUCCGUCACAGUCGUCCACAUUUUGAAUGCAUCUCAAGGACAGCUCCUUAGAUGCAAGGUUAAUCUCCGAUUGGGCCACUUCUCUCACGAGUCAAUAUUUCUCAGUCCUCGCCAUGCCCGAACAUGUGAAUUUCCAGUCAAGACCAAACAAUCCCAAAACGUGGAUUGUGGGACAGCAUUCCGGGCUUUGGGAAUCUUUUUGGGUUAAAGCUUAAAGCCACACCCAUUUUUGUCAUUCGAACUGGCCCACUGAAGUGAGGUCCCCAUUUGUCAAAAUAGAUUACCCCUAAUCGAUAAUUAACUUCUGCGAAUAACAUCCGGGACGGCAGACAAAGAAGAAGACCGUGGGAAUGAUUGGGAAUUCUGUGUCACGGUCCCCGUUAAAGCGACGGCCCUCGGGAAUACACUAUUUCAUCUACAAAGGACAUCUGGAGGUACUAGUUUGUCUGAUUUACAGCUGAGGAUGGGGGUGGGGUGGUGGGGGCGGAGUCAGACUCCCAACGAAAGCCAGGAUAUGGAUGACAUAAAAUUUAAAUUGCUAUACGAGAAGGUAUAUGUUUUAUAAAAAAAAAAAUGCAGGCCCCAUAAAAGACUUUUGAUGAUACUGUUCUGAUGUAAAAUGUCAAAUCGUUUAUCUUUGUUCGAU
Paramormyrops kingsleyae is the source of this 1727-nucleotide long non-coding RNA. RefSeq lists it as uncharacterized. The record is from RefSeq and is a predicted model, not a curated record. NCBI's taxonomy places the organism in Eukaryota, Metazoa, Chordata, Actinopteri, Osteoglossiformes, Mormyridae.